This 1485-nucleotide ribosomal RNA is filed under the name Triticum aestivum (bread wheat). RNAcentral describes it as "partial small subunit ribosomal RNA". The record is from RNAcentral. Lineage: Eukaryota; Viridiplantae; Streptophyta; Magnoliopsida; Poales; Poaceae.
AUGAAGCGGCGCAGGCAGGCGGACCGCCUGAGCGCUCUCCCGGACGAGAUGAUGCAGCACAUCCUCUCCCAGCUCCCGUCCGAGGAGGCCGUGUGCACCAGCGCGCUCUCCCGCCGGUGGCGCGACGUCCCCGCCCGCGUCACCACCGUCGACCUCGCCGACCCCGCCAAAGGCGAUUAUGGGCGUCACAAUAUGAGCGAGGACCUCGACCUCCCGGUCUGCUUCGCCCACAAGGUGACGGGGGCGAUCCUCGGCAAGGCCCCCUCGGCGCCCAUCCGCACCCUCCGCCUCGACAUCCUCAACCCGUCCGGCGAUCUGCUCGACCAGUGGAUCGGCUCCGCCGUGUCCACCGGCGCUGAGGACAUCGACGUCAAGCUCAGGUACAGUCACCUCUCCCGGCGCAGGCUCUGCCCCUACGGCUCAUCGGAGAGGGCCUCUGCGGACUUCGAAAUCUACGAACGGAACGGCUAUACCAAGACGCAGAACCAUCUAUUCCGGUGCCGCACGCUUCGCCGCCUACGCCUCGUCAACUGGAGGCUCGAUGUGCACGGAACCGUCUCCAUGGCGUCCCUGGAGACGCUCUGCCUCGCCAGGAUCAUGGACCCCAAAGGGAUGCUGCAGCACCUGCUCUCCAACUGCCCACGCCUCGCUGACCUGACGCUGCAGGAGUGCCCGAGCCUCACGAAAAUCACGGUGGCCAGCGCCCACCUGCGGAGUUUCGCCAUGAUCUGCUGCCACAAUGCCACGCGCAUCAAGCUGAGCAGCUCCUGCCUCCGGUCGCUGCACUACAAAGGCGGCCUUCCUCGCAAAUCGCUCUUCAAGCUUGCAAACCAUGCCGGAGUCACGGCGCUGACAGUUGAAAUCUGUGAAGACCUCUCCGGAAAAGAACCAGCAGAAUUUGCUCCUGCCACUAAGCUCAUCAAACGGUGCACCAAACUGGCGUACCUUCACCUUUCCUUCCGCCCAUCAAUGGCUUACUAUAGCAGCUUGAUCAAAGUCAAACAUGUGGCGCCCUGCAUAGAGCAUCUUAGGCAGUUGGGCCUCCGGUGCUGCCUGCGCGACCAUCACGACAUCCGGUCAGUUGCUGUCUUGCUUUGUCACACCCAGAACUUGGAAGUGCUGUCGAUGUUUCCUAUGGCUCCUGAGACUCCAAAGGAGUACUCGUCUGAUAGCGAAUCAGAUAUCGAGCUUGAGAACAACGUCGUUGAGGAUGGGGUCGACUAUAGUAGCCAGGUGACCCAUAGUGGUUUCUGGCCAAUGCAGAUCAGCUGCUUGGAUGAUAAACUGAGAAGAAUUAACAUUGGGAUGUACAGAGGGCUGCAACUCGAAAAGAUGCUUGCAAAGUUUCUACUUUCAAAGGCUGCGGCUUUGGAGGAAUUCUCUGUUACCUUAACGGCUGGAUGUUCCCAAAGUAAGCGUAAGGUUGCAAAGGAGCUUCGAUCCUGGCGGUGGAAUCACCAUACCAGAGUAACUGUAAAUAGAUGA